Molecule: transfer RNA, 74 nt
Filed under: Alphaproteobacteria bacterium CG_4_10_14_0_8_um_filter_53_9
Lineage: Bacteria; Pseudomonadati; Pseudomonadota; Alphaproteobacteria
Description: tRNA-Gly
Rfam family: tRNA
About the family: Transfer RNA (tRNA) molecules are approximately 80 nucleotides in length. Their secondary structure includes four short double-helical elements and three loops (D, anti-codon, and T loops). Further hydrogen bonds mediate the characteristic L-shaped molecular structure. tRNAs have two regions of fundamental functional importance: the anti-codon, which is responsible for specific mRNA codon recognition, and the 3' end, to which the tRNAs corresponding amino acid is attached (by aminoacyl-tRNA synthetases). tRNAs cope with the degeneracy of the genetic code in two manners: having more than one tRNA (with a specific anti-codon) for a particular amino acid; and 'wobble' base-pairing, i.e. permitting non-standard base-pairing at the 3rd anti-codon position.
Source: RNAcentral
GCGGGUAUAGUUCAUCGGUAGAACGGAAGCUUCCCAAGCUUCAGAGAGGGGUUCGAUUCCCCUUACCCGCUCCA